This 497-nucleotide ribosomal RNA is filed under the name uncultured bacterium. Its description in RNAcentral is "partial 16S ribosomal RNA". It matches the Rfam family "Bacterial small subunit ribosomal RNA", at positions 28 to 507 of the family's 1533-position model. The record is from RNAcentral.
GAUGAACGCUGGCGGCGUGCCUAAUACAUGCAAGUCGAGCGAACAGAUAAGGAGCUUGCUCCUUUGACGUUAGCGGCGGACGGGUGAGUAACACGUGGGUAACUUACCUAUAAGACUGGAAUAACUCCGGGAAACCGGGGCUAAUGCCGGAUAACAUGUUGAACCGCAUGGUUCUACAGUGAAAGGCGGCUUUGCUGUCACUUAUAGAUGGACCCGCGCCGUAUUAGCUAGUUGGUGAGGUAACGGCUCACCAAGGCAACGAUACGUAGCCGACCUGAGAGGGUGAUCGGCCACACUGGAACUGAGACAGGUUCCAGACUCCUACGGGAGGCAGCAGUAGGGAAUCUUCCGCAAUGGGCGAAAGCCUGACGGAGCAACGCCGCGUGAGUGAUGAAGGUCUUCGGAUCGUAAAACUCUGUUAUUAGGGAAGAACAAAUGCGUAAGUAACUGUGCGCGUCUUGACGGUACCUAAUCAGAAAGCCACGGCUAACUACGUG